CCUACGGGAGGCAGCAGUGGGGAAUAUUGCACAAUGGGGGAAACCCUGAUGCAGCGACGCCGCGUGAGUGAAGAAGUAUUUCGGUAUGUAAAGCUCUAUCAGCAGGGAAGAUAAUGACGUUACCUGACUAAGAAGCCCCGGCUAACUACGUGCCAGCAGCCGCGGUAAUACGGAGGGGGCAAGCGUAAUCCGGAUUUACUGGGUGUAAAGGGUGCGUAGGUGGUAGGGCAAGUCAGAUGUGAACGCCCGGGGCUCAACCCCGGUACUGCAUUUGAAACUGUCCAGCUGGAGUGCGGGAGAGGUAAGCGGAAUUCGUAGUGUAGCGGUGAAAUGCGUAGAUAUUAGGAGGAACACCAGUGGCGAAGGCGGCUUACUGUACUGUAACUGACACUGAGGCACGAAAGCGUGGGGAGCGAACAGGAUUAGAUACCCGAGUAGUC
Molecule: ribosomal RNA, 440 nt
Filed under: uncultured bacterium
Lineage: Bacteria
Description: partial 16S ribosomal RNA
Rfam family: Bacterial small subunit ribosomal RNA
Source: RNAcentral